Molecule: ribosomal RNA, 1008 nt
Filed under: Tsukamurella pulmonis
Lineage: Bacteria; Bacillati; Actinomycetota; Actinomycetes; Mycobacteriales; Tsukamurellaceae
Description: bacterial SSU rRNA
Rfam family: Bacterial small subunit ribosomal RNA
Source: RNAcentral
GAAGCGGCAAGUGACGGUACCUCCAGAAGAAGCACCCGCCCAAUUACGUGCCAGCAGCCGCGGUAAUACGUAGGGUGCGAGCGUUGUCCCGGAUUUACUGGGCGUAAAGAGCUCGUAGGCGGUUUGUCACGUCGUCUGUGAAAUCCCGAGGCUUAACCUCGGGACUGCAGGCGAUACGGGCAGACUUGAGUACUGCAGGGGAGACUGGAAUUCCUGGUGUAGCGGUGGAAUGCGCAGAUAUCAGGAGGAACACCGGUGGCGAAGGCGGGUCUCUGGGCAGUAACUGACGCUGAGGAGCGAAAGCGUGGGUAGCGAACAGGAUUAGAUACCCUGGUAGUCCACGCCGUAAACGGUGGGUACUAGGUGUGGGUCCCUUCCACGGGAUCCGUGCCGUAGCUAACGCAUUAAGUACCCCGCCUGGGGAGUACGGCCGCAAGGCUAAAACUCAAAGGAAUUGACGGGGGCCCGCACAAGCGGCGGAGCAUGUGGAUUAAUUCGAUGCAACGCGAAGAACCUUACCUGGGUUUGACAUAUAGAGGAUCGCCGGAGAGAUUCGGUUUGCCUUGUGCCUUCUAUACAGGUGGUGCAUGGCUGUCGUCAGCUCGUGUCGUGAGAUGUUGGGUUAAGUCCCGCAACGAGCGCAACCCUUGUCUCAUGUUGCCAGCACGUAAUGGUGGGGACUCGUGAGAGACUGCCGGGGUCAACUCGGAGGAAGGUGGGGAUGACGUCAAGUCAUCAUGCCCCUUAUGUCCAGGGCUUCACACAUGCUACAAUGGCGCGUACAGAGGGCUGCGAUACCGCGAGGUGGAGCGAAUCCCUUAAAGCGCGUCUCAGUUCGGAUUGGGGUCUGCAACUCGACCCCAUGAAGUCGGAGUCGCUAGUAAUCGCAGAUCAGCAACGCUGCGGUGAAUACGUUCCCGGGCCUUGUACACACCGCCCGUCACGUCAUGAAAGUCGGUAACACCCGAAGCCGGUGGCCUAACCCCUUGUGGGAGGGAGCUUUCCGAA